CUUGCAAUCCAUUUUAAGAAUGCUUGAAAGAUUUAAAAAAGUCAUCGUAUUAAAACAUAAUAGUCAAGCAGAGAAUUAAAGACCACAUCAAUCUAGAUAUUUAUGUUUAAGCAAUAAUGAAAGACAUUUCAAACAGCUAACUUUGAAAACAUUGCUUCAACCUCAGUAAAUAUAUUAUUAGUAAUCAGCUUCACCACCUUAACAAUUUUAGAAGGGGAAAGGUUAACAAUUGACAAAAAUAAAAAAGCCUUGCUGCACUGACUGAACUACCCCUUUUCUCUGCAUAAGCAUUCAUUAUUUCUAGUGUCUGUGGAAGUUUGUAAAGUUUGCUACUUUUCCAUAUAGAUUUCAUUUUUUAUACCUCUGUCUUCAGCACUUGGAGUGAAAUGGUACUGCCCAGCUACUGUCCAGGUAGUUUCUGCUGGCAAAAGCAGUUCUCUGACCUACGUCAAAGUCAGGCAAGUUUGCACAAACCAUGUAUUUAAGAGCCCUUUUUUUCUUUUUUUUUUUUUUUUUUGCCUUGAGGUAUUUCACAAGGAAAAAUUUCAGCCACAGAUAGCAUUAAAAAUUUAAACCACUGCAGCUGCUUGUAAACUUCUACUCACAGUUGUAACUGUCCUCACUGAAUUAUUGGUGUAAAUUCAAUCUUGGGUUAAAAAUAAAUCAAUAAAUAAAUCCAGAUUUAAAGAACUGAAGUAUACAGCUACAGAUUCAGAGCAGCAUGCUGAUGUGCCCUGCUAAACUGUAUCAGAUCAAGCAUUUGCCAUCCACACAUCAAAUCCCAAUAGGCAUAUGGCUUUCAAGAAAGCUUGGAGGUACUAAUUUAAAAGCAGCAGAUUAUGGAUUAAGUCGUGUUCACUGGCAGAAGGAUGGGGUGGGGGAGCAAUCACUAGCCAAGCCAGCUGCUUUUGCCAAAUGCUGCAACUUGCAGAGCUGCACAGACAUUUCAAAAGCUACCCAGUGAAGUGAAACACUUAGAAGUGCUACCCCAUUGCUGUUGGUUUAGCACACUAGUCCUCCUCAUUUUUAACACAGUUCUUAAAAACAUUAAAACAAGGCCUCCCUAUAAAUUAUUCAGAGAAACACUUCAAAUUAGAGGGAGGUGAGUUGUGUAACACAAAACAAGAGCCAUCAGCAAGCCCAAACCUCUUACAGCUUUCCUCAGCUAAACUAAUCUCUGAAAGUUGACAGCAAAUUGAAAUCCAAGAAGAUAACUGACAGGUAUCCCACAGAGAAAUUGUAGCGGAGUAACAAAAAGUCUUUUUUACAAGUUCCUGUAAUCUAGACACAGAACUGCUACCAGAGGCUAUCGGCAGUGACAGGAAGUUUAGGUUUGGGAAAAAACUCCCCUGUAUUCCCCAAUACACAGCAAAACAUCUUCCAAAGCUUGUAACAUACAGCAAAUUAAAAAUAAAAACAAACAAACAAAACAAACAAACAACAACAACAAAAACACCAAAAAACCACACACAAUAAAAACCCACCAAAGUGGCAUCUGGCUUUAAUGGUUGCUAUCUAAUUUGCAGCUUUGGCUUGUACUGAAUGGUACUGAACUAAGCAUCCCAGAUUCAGAAAACCAAGGCCAUAUAAGAAGCUUUCUUGCAGAGCAGGGAUUAAGUUUUAAAAAGACACUAUAAUCUGGGUGCGGAAAGAUGAUUAUAAAUCAGAGAUCAAAGUUAGCACAGGAAAAGUUUAGUCAAUCAUUAAGAAAGAAAACAACCACCAGCACUACCCAAUACAUGAAUGAGUUAGAUUUAAGGCUGGUCACAGUUUCUUGAGUUGGAGGAGUGAGUCACUGUUGAUGACAUGACAGCAAAAUAAUAAAUAAAUAGUAAGUGAAGAAAUCGUGAGGGUAACAUUGGAAGAGUGGGGAAAGAAAGACUCUUUAAAUUGAGACAAGCAUCUCUGCAGUUUUCUAAAAAUAAUACAGAAGACAGAGCUUGAAGGAAGAUGACUGGAAGAGACGGAAAUGAGAUUUUUCAUCUCCACUGAGAGGACAAUGCACAUGGCACGUUGAAGCAGCUCUGGUAAGCAAUUUUUGCUGAAAUAGUUAAGGUGACAGCUGUGUUCCAGAUCAGUACCCAGUUAACCAGCUAUCACACUGAGCCAUCAACUAUUGUAAGUCUACAGGUUGUAGUUCUCACUGGCGAAGACAAGAAAAAUAAGCGUACAGGUAGUCAGUUUGCAAACCAGGCUGGUGGGAGUAAUGAGAAGUUCUGAGGAAAAGACGUUUUUUAUGCUCCAGAGACUCUGACACCAGUCCAAACCCACCAGAUCUCACUAAGCAGGACUAGGAAAUCCAGUUUCUCAAUCGCAGCCAGGGUUUAGAGUUUAGUACCACUGUAUCACUCCAAGCUGAGCCAGUACUGAAUGAGAGUUGCACACUAGCAAGCAAAAAAGCAGUUUAAAUAUAUAUGCUGAAUUGCAAAAGAAGAAAGGCUAAAACUGGGAGGUCAAGUAAAAACUUGUAAGCAAAUUGUACAUAGAAGCAAAUAUAUACCGCAGUGAAUCUCUCCUGAGAGAAGACACAGGCUGAAAGUCAUUUAGGAAUCACAUUUGGUUCUCAAAGACCCGCAAACUUCUCUUUUUAUACAUAACUAGACAUACUAUAAAAGCUGCCAUGGAUUCUGCAAUACCUCUUUUUCUUGCACCCUUGUAGCUCCGCCAUAAUCACGUGCAUAUGACAUUCAGUUAGCAAAUACUGCCUGUUUUGUGACCAAAUCAGUUCACCUCUGCGCAUGGCCCGUGCAGCACCCAAUUCCAGCAGCUGAGAAGCUGGACUAAACAGCCAAGCAGCAAAGCUGCUGCUUCACAGAGGUACCAGCUGUUUUCCUUAGUCUCAAGAGAUUUUUUCACAAAUUAUUUUCUCAAAAGGAUGGCUUAUUCAGACUGUUCAGAUACCAAACAAAAGCUUUUAAAACAUGCAAUGGGAUUAAUUUACUUAAGCCCUCUGCUGACAUACAGUGCAGCUGAUAAAUUUACCAAUUACUGUACAAGAACACUUACUGGUAUACAUGGGAUACACUACAAUGUGCAUGCAGCUUGAAAUAUUUUAAGCACAUUACAACAGUAAUAAUUAUUUGCAGGCUACAACUACUAUUCCUAACUGGACUGCUUUCCUCAGGAGGAAAUAGUUCUCAGGAGAGAAAGGUAUUUUAGUGUCUCUUCUUAGGUUUUAAGUGUUUAUAAAUUCCCAAACUUCAGACAAGAAGAGGGGUCCCGACUGCACCUUAUUAUUCACUGCACAGGAAAAACCUGUAUGAAUGCAGUCAGCUGAACACUCUGCAAGGGAAGAUUCUAUUCAGAAGAAAAACAAUGAAGUCUUUUGAGGAAGAAGUAAUAAAGAUGCUCUUGGUUCUACUUCUCCUCCUUGCUCUCCUCUCUUUUUACUUGAUGUGCCUUAUGCUUAAAUUAUGUUUACACUGAGUUUAUUCUUGACCUUACAAGAAAAUAGUAUUUUUAAAAAAAAAAAAAAAGGAAAUAGGUGUUCUUCCUGCAUGCCUUUCCACAGAUGUCUUAGUUUGACCAUAGCCUCUACAUAUAAAAGGGCACAGCAAAAGAGAUUUCUACAUAAAUAUUUUUAAAUCUGCUGUUGAUGCCAGAAUUUAAGAAUGCAUCAUCCAUGUCACGGCCCUUACAGAAACUAAUUUACAAUUGUCUUACAGAAGUCAUUACAAAGGAAGCCAUCAGAGCCAGGAUAACACCAGCACUUAAAGAUACUUAAUGCUGCUGGGUUUGCCUGCAGAGUUAGAUGUAAGAGGGCCACAGCAGGCCCCGAUGUCUGAAAAAAAGAAGUGCCAACACUGUAAAUAACUGCAGCCCUCAGAUACUGCAAUCUAAAGUAACAAGGAUAAUUUUUAUGUCUGUGAUUUUUAUGCAAAAUGGCUCUGCAAUAUUUACUUGAUUUUAUAACCUUAAAUCACAUCUUCUAAGUAUUUUUCUGUUAAUAUAUCAAAGGAACGAUCUUAUUUUUUCAACACAUCUUCUACAUGCAUCUUAAAUAAAGAAAACAGGUGGCAUGUCAGAGAUCCUCAUGAAGUAACAGUUUUAUUGUACCGAUAUGCCUUUAGGUGAUGAGUGUUCAGUCAGUGCAGAAAUCACUGACAGAAGUGGUACAAAACUGCAAAAUUACAAAUUAACACCUACUAUCAGAUUACUGUAGCCAAAGAUGCCGAAACUGAGUCACAGGCAGAUAGCAUAAGAUAAACCACCAAAGGUCUGUGGAGAAAGUUAAUUCAUAAAACAGGAUAUGGAACUGUUUAACAAGGUACAAACUUAGCAUUUCCAUAUGAGGACAAAGAUAAACCAACCACGGAUUACAAAGCAAACAUACAAACUAAAGUCAAGGGUACUGCUUCAACAAAACAUCACCAUGUAAAUCUCAAAAUAUACUGCAUAAAAAUAAUUUUAAAAUAAUCUAGAGUGUUUUAAAGUUUUUAUGCAGUGAAUUAAAUUGUCCUGGGAGAUGCAGAGGCUUUUCCUUUCUAGGCUACCAGUUAAACCAAUUUCAGGUUUCAAAACCUAAAUGAUAUAUCUGUCCAGAGGCAUAAUUAUUAAGGCAGGAAGAUGAGAUGUUAUGGGGGUUAUUUUACACAACAGUUCACCAAAAGAAAAAAAAAAAAAAAAAAAAAAAAAAGCUGGAAAACUGCAACUGGUUAUAAAACACAAGUAUAUGCCCAUGGAAAACUGCUAUUUGGUAUCUGCGUUCUUGUAAUAGAACAAAGUCACAACUGAAGUAAACUCCAUUUUAAGAUACUGACAUGCUGUAAUUUAAAUGCUGUAAUUUGUUGUCCUGGGCAAACAUUUUGUUGUCUAGCAAAAAAGCACUUUCCUAGGCAGGCUCAUUCUGCUUUGGGUGCUGCACACCUCCAUCCCUCUCCUGUCUGAGUUCUUAACACAUCUCAUUGGGUCAACCACACGGACCACCCCAGGGCAUCACAGGUGGUGCAAUUAAUGUAGAAAAAAAAAAAAAAAAACCACACCCAAACAUCUCACUCGAGAAUGACUUAUGAAGCCACUUCCAGAGAGGAAGCUUACUCAUUUCUGUGGGUAAGUCAAGCUCUGACAGAUGAGCUCCUCCUGCCGAGGCGGCAAACUGGGCACACCUGGGGGUGUAGGGACUUUGGAGCCCUACCGCUGAGACCGGUGGUGCACCAGCGCUUGGUGACACCGGUACCACCAACCCUGGGACAUCUGGACACAGCCUUGGGCAGCAACCGCUUCGGACUCGCUCCGCAGGCACUUUUGUCUAGAGUUUUCCUCAGCCUGCAGAAGCCCUUGGUGAAGCGCAGUGCUUCAUUAUUUUCCCCACCCUUGUACAUGCCUUCCAGUACAACUUCGAGCUUCACCAAAGAGAAAAACUGUAGUGAAUCACUUGUGAUUGUGAUUCUUGCAAGUUAUGGAUCUUUUCCCACAUGGAUGUUGGAGGCUUUCUUGCACUCCCUUUAAAAUAGCAUAACCACAGGGAACAGGCACUGUAUGGGGGUGUUAUCUGAUACCCAUCUCAUUAUCUCCACAAAAUAACAACUCCUCUAAAGUAUAUUGCUGAGUUUGAAGAACUUUUAUGUUCACACUCCCGGGGUUAUUUUAAUGAGACUGAAAAGUUAAGAACCUUUACGGGAAAACUCCAGCUUCAGAUGAACUAAGGGAGGAGGCAAGACUUCUUGACAGCAUGGACACAGAGAGUCUGAAUCUGAAGGCCAGAAAUACAAAUAAAUCAUAAUCGUUUGCUCCAUUUCUGAUUAUAAAUACAUUUAAAUUGUGGCUCAGCAUACUCAGGAUACUCUAUGUCAUUUGUCUGUGAAGUUAAGGUCAAGGAUAUACUACUCUACAUUUGGGGGGAAGAGGCGUCAGUAAAACAUCUUUAAGCAGAACCAAAGCUGGUAGAAACAGGCUUUCUCUAGAAUACCUCAAUUCAACAGAGCACACACAAAAAAUUUUGAAGUUGUUGCAUACAUCAUCAACUCACUGCCUCUCCCCUGGACCAGAUGGUGUAGUAUUCUGUUCAAUGUAUUUGAACCCUGCCUCAAAUGUCUUUAAAGGAUUUUAAAAUUCUGUAAUGGGAGAGAGAAGUUCUAUUAGAGAAAGUAUAUAGGGAAGCCAACGUUUGCCAGUGCUUGUCUAGCAAACAGCUGUUUGGAGAAAUGUGAAGAUGUGAGACUCUUCAGGGGAGUAAAGUGAGAAACUGGGAGGCAAUUUGUGAAAGGAGAUGCGUUCUCCUCUUUUCAGGAAGGGCAGGAGCACUCCAUUGUUGAAAAUCUAAUUUUCCAGAAAAAAAUAACCAUAUGUCACAAGUGGCCAUUUGUGCUGUAUCCACUUGUAACUUAACAUCCUUGAAAUGAGCCAGUCACAAAGUUGUAAAGUAUUAUCCUUAGGUGAGCUUUCAGGUUAAAACAUGUGGGAUGAGUAAGAGAACUCACCAACUCCUGCUGAGUUUCCAGACAGCUUGAAACAGAGAGAUUCAGUAAUUCUCAUAAAAGUAACUAAUAACUUUAGAAACUUAAUUAAAAAUAAGCUUCAGGUUUUUGACCAGAUGAUGCGGCUAUCUAUGUAUUUGCAUCAUACAUCUGCUGAUACAAUAUCCUUUAUGCAGAAGACCAGGUACCACAUUUAACUCUCUGCCAGUCUCGUUUAACCCGUCUGCUCCUUGUGAACACAUAUUACCUUAUAUUCAUAGCUGAGGGAAAGAAAGUUCCAUUAUAUAAAGAAGUAUCACCAGGCACUGAAGGAAUGUGAAUACAUUGAAGUAGAGAGCUUCCUAGUAAAAGCUUUUGCUUGGCGAGUCCCCCCACCCAGGAUAAAUUUAUACAUCCUUGCAUGCAGGUGCCAGAAAGAUGAAAAAAAAUCCCCAUCGGUCUGGUAUGCUGGUUUGCAUUUGGGUUUCCUCUACCUUUUUUUUUUUUUUAAUCAACA
Tyto alba (common barn owl) is the source of this 6912-nucleotide long non-coding RNA. RefSeq lists it as uncharacterized. Lineage: Eukaryota; Metazoa; Chordata; Aves; Strigiformes; Tytonidae. The transcript has 2 exons. The record is from RefSeq and is a predicted model, not a curated record.